GAUGAACGCUGGCGGCGUGCCUAAUACAUGCAAGUCGAGCGAACGGAUGAGAAGCUUGCUUCUCUGAUGUUAGCGGCGGACGGGUGAGUAACACGUGGAUAACCUACCUAUAAGACUGGGAUAACUUCGGGAAACCGGAGCUAAUACCGGAUAAUAUUUUGAACCGCAUGGUUCAAAAGUGAAAGACGGUCUUGCUGUCACUUAUAGAUGGAUCCGCGCUGCAUUAGCUAGUUGGUAAGGUAACGGCUUACCAAGGCAACGAUGCAUAGCCGACCUGAGAGGGUGAUCGGCCACACUGGAACUGAGACACGGUCCAGACUCCUACGGGAGGCAGCAGUAGGGAAUCUUCCGCAAUGGGCGAAAGCCUGACGGAGCAACGCCGCGUGAGUGAUGAAGGUCCUCGGAUCGUAAAACUCUGUUAUUAGGGAAGAACAUAUGUGUAAGUAACUGUGCACAUCUUGACGGUACCUAAUCAGAAAGCCACGGCUAACUACGUG
This 497-nucleotide ribosomal RNA is filed under the name uncultured bacterium. RNAcentral's name for it is "partial 16S ribosomal RNA". It matches the Rfam family "Bacterial small subunit ribosomal RNA", at positions 28 to 507 of the family's 1533-position model. The record is from RNAcentral.